AACGCACAUUGCGCCCCCUGGCAUUCCGGGGGGCACACCUGUCCGAGCGCCGUCGCAACACUGAGGCUCAGCCUUGCGUUGGCGGCCGGCCUCCUGUCACUGGGAGGCCGCCGCUCAAACACCGAUGGCGCCGCAACGCGGCCGGCGAAUGCGCAAAAGCACAAGCCCGACGUGUGGUGGCCGCCUUGUAACGAGUUACAAAUGCUUGGCCUCGGAUCAGGUGGGGAUACCCGCUGAACUUAA
This 243-nucleotide unclassified non-coding RNA is filed under the name uncultured Ascomycota. RNAcentral describes it as "sequence contains ITS2". The record is from RNAcentral. RNAcentral also lists the same sequence under 1 other name. Lineage: Eukaryota; Fungi; Ascomycota.